Choloepus didactylus (southern two-toed sloth) is the source of this 1141-nucleotide long non-coding RNA. RefSeq lists it as uncharacterized. NCBI's taxonomy places the organism in Eukaryota, Metazoa, Chordata, Mammalia, Pilosa, Megalonychidae. The transcript is spliced from 2 exons. The record is from RefSeq and is a predicted model, not a curated record.
CCGCAAAACCCUCGCCCGCCGGCCUCCUGGCGCCGCCGCCCGCGUCCCGCGAGCCCUGGCCGCUGCCGCCGCCGCCGCACUGGUUCCUGUCGCCGCCCUGCUGACCGCCCGGCCCUCCGAGGCCGCCCUCCCCGAGGGGCCGCGGCGGAAUAAAAGGUUUGGAUGCCACCGCUAAGGCCCCUCAGCGCUUGUGUGUAUGGCUUCUUGGAAGCUCUGAUCCGCACCUCCCCACCCCACCCCCAGUCUGGAGACGUCCAACUUUCCAGUGGCGCAGACCCAGGCGCCGGCAGGCCCCGCCCGACAGCCAAGCAGCCGCGCUGAUGGAUCGCCGAUACUUGGCCCGGGAGCAGGAGGGUCACGCGGCUGUCAUGUCACCCCACGGACAGGAGAGGGACAGCAGAACUCCCCCGGUGAGCCGGAAAGGAAACUCCUGUGCUCCCGAUCUUUACCCACCACCCGGUUCUCUGCAGCCUGAACAGCUCAGAAGAAGGUUCUCUUUGUUUUCCAGGUGGCUCAGGUCUUCAAGCUCUAAUACAGCAGCCGAGGACGGACCCAGCGAGCCUUGGCCUGGGACCCACCCCCUGGCAAGAAGGGCAAAGUCUGAGUUUCCUGUGGCUGCUGUAAUAAUUUACCAACUGGGAGGCUUAAAACACCAGAACUGCCUUCCCUCACGGCUCUGGAAGGCAGAAGUUCCAAAUCAAGAUGUCCAUCCACACUCCCUCAAAGGAUCCUGGGGAAGACCCCUCGGGGCCUCUCCCAGCUGCUGGUGGCUGCGUCACUCUUUUCUCUGCGUCUGUGUUCACAUGCUCUUCUCCUCUUUAGGAGUCUCUCCUCUGUGUCUGUUAGAGGACACCUGGCAUUGGAUUCAGGACCCACUCUAAAACCAGGAUGACCUUUUGAGAUCCUUAAUGACAUCUGCAAAGACCCUUUACUCAAAUGGGGAUUACAUUCACAGGUUUGGGGAAUCAGGACUUGGAUGUGUAUUUUUGGGGGGCCAACUGGGGUGCUGGCCCACCUCCAGGCUGCCCUCCCAGGACUUGUGUUGUAGGCCCUGUCCCUCACUGAUCCUGAGUGCUGGGUCCCCUUGGCGCCUCGCUAAAGCUCUUCCUGAGCACAGGAGAAAAUCCAGUGAGUGCUGAAC